This 406-nucleotide ribosomal RNA is filed under the name uncultured Pseudomonas sp. RNAcentral describes it as "bacterial SSU rRNA". It matches the Rfam family "Bacterial small subunit ribosomal RNA", at positions 64 to 471 of the family's 1533-position model. Lineage: Bacteria; Pseudomonadati; Pseudomonadota; Gammaproteobacteria; Pseudomonadales; Pseudomonadaceae. The record is from RNAcentral.
GAGCGGUAGAGAGAAGCUUGCUUCUCUUGAGAGCGGCGGACGGGUGAGUAAUGCCUAGGAAUCUGCCUGGUAGUGGGGGAUAACGUUCGGAAACGAACGCUAAUACCGCAUACGUCCUACGGGGGAAAGCAGGGGACCUUCGGGCCUUGCGCUAUCAGAUGAGCCUAGGUCGGAUUAGCUAGUUGGUGAGGUAAUGGCUCACCAAGGCGACGAUCCGUAACUGGUCUGAGAGGAUGAUCAGUCACACUGGAACUGAGACACGGUCCAGACUCCUACGGGAGGCAGCAGUGGGGAAUAUUGGACAAUGGGCGAAAGCCUGAUCCAGCCAUGCCGCGUGUGUGAAGAAGGUCUUCGGAUUGUAAAGCACUUUAAGUUGGGAGGAAGGGCCAUUACCUAAUACGUGAUG